Acanthosepion pharaonis is the source of this 99-nucleotide non-coding RNA. The record is from the annotation of a GenBank genome assembly. NCBI's taxonomy places the organism in Eukaryota, Metazoa, Mollusca, Cephalopoda, Sepiida, Sepiidae.
UCUGAAACACCGGUUUCCGUAUUGUCACCGACGUUAAGCAGCGUCGAACAGGGUUAGUACGUAGAUGGGUGACUCCUUGCGAAUAUCAGGUGCUGUAAG